CAGCCGCCGCGGUAAUACGUAGGGCGCAAGCGUUGUCCGGAAUUAUUGGGCGUAAAGAGCUCGUAGGCGGCUUGUCACGUCUGCUGUGAAAUCCCGGGGCUCAACCCCGGGCGUGCAGUGGAUACGGGCUGGCUAGAGGCAGGCAGGGGAGAACGGAAUUCCCGGUGUAGCGGUGAAAUGCGCAGAUAUCGGGAGGAACACCGGUGGCGAGGGCGGUUCUCUGGGCCUGUUCUGACGCUGAGGAGCGAAAGCGUGGGGAGCGAACAGGAUUAGAUACCCGAGUAGUCCCUGUCUCUUAUAC
RNAcentral lists this ribosomal RNA (301 nucleotides) under uncultured bacterium. RNAcentral describes it as "partial 16S ribosomal RNA". It matches the Rfam family "Bacterial small subunit ribosomal RNA", at positions 509 to 807 of the family's 1533-position model. The record is from RNAcentral.